UGGUAGGCAAUAUUGGUCAAUGGGCGCGAGCCUGAACCAGCCAUCCCGCGUGCAGGAUGACGGCCCUAUGGGUUGUAAACUGCUUUUCUACUCCAAGAAACCACCUUACGUGUAGGGUGUUGCCGGUAGAGUAGGAAUAAGCAUCGGCUAACUCCGUGCCAGCAGCCGCGGUA
This 173-nucleotide ribosomal RNA is filed under the name uncultured bacterium. Its description in RNAcentral is "partial 16S ribosomal RNA". It matches the Rfam family "Bacterial small subunit ribosomal RNA", at positions 352 to 522 of the family's 1533-position model. The record is from RNAcentral.